GAUGAACGCUGGCGGCGUGCCUAAUACAUGCAAGUCGAGCGAACGGACGAGAAGCUUGCUUCUCUGAUGUUAGCGGCGGACGGGUGAGUAACACGUGGAUAACCUACCUAUAAGACUGGGAUAACUUCGGGAAACCGGAGCUAAUACCGGAUAAUAUUUUGAACCGCAUGGUUCAAAAGUGAAAGACGGUCUUGCUGUCACUUAUAGAUGGAUCCGCGCUGCAUUAGCUAGUUGGUAAGGUAACGGCUUACCAAGGCAACGAUGCAUAGCCGACCUGAGAGGGGGAUCGGCCACCCUGGAACUGAGAACCGGCCCCGAUCCCUACGGGAGGAAGCAGGAGGGAAUCUUCCGAAAUGGGCGAAAGCCUGACGGAGAAACGCCGCGGGAGUGAUGAAGGUCUUCGGAUCGUAAAACUUUGUUAUUAGGGAAGAACAUAUGUGUAAGUAACUGUGCCAAUCUGGCCGGUACCUAAUCAAAAAGCCCCGGCUAACUCCGU
Molecule: ribosomal RNA, 496 nt
Filed under: uncultured bacterium
Lineage: Bacteria
Description: partial 16S ribosomal RNA
Rfam family: Bacterial small subunit ribosomal RNA
Source: RNAcentral